RNAcentral lists this transfer RNA (72 nucleotides) under Ictidomys tridecemlineatus (thirteen-lined ground squirrel). RNAcentral's name for it is "Spermophilus tridecemlineatus (thirteen-lined ground squirrel) tRNA". It matches the Rfam family "tRNA". Rfam says of the family: Transfer RNA (tRNA) molecules are approximately 80 nucleotides in length. Their secondary structure includes four short double-helical elements and three loops (D, anti-codon, and T loops). Further hydrogen bonds mediate the characteristic L-shaped molecular structure. tRNAs have two regions of fundamental functional importance: the anti-codon, which is responsible for specific mRNA codon recognition, and the 3' end, to which the tRNAs corresponding amino acid is attached (by aminoacyl-tRNA synthetases). tRNAs cope with the degeneracy of the genetic code in two manners: having more than one tRNA (with a specific anti-codon) for a particular amino acid; and 'wobble' base-pairing, i.e. permitting non-standard base-pairing at the 3rd anti-codon position. The record is from Rfam by way of RNAcentral. Lineage: Eukaryota; Metazoa; Chordata; Mammalia; Rodentia; Sciuridae.
AGGAGUGUAACUCAAUAGUAGAGUGUUUGCCUAGCAUGUGUGAAGUCCUGGGUUCAAGUCCCAGUACUGCAG